CCUACGGGUGGCAGCAGUGGGGAAUAUUGCACAAUGGGGGAAACCCUGAUGCAGCGACGCCGCGUGAGCGAAGAAGUAUUUCGGUAUGUAAAGCUCUAUCAGCAGGGAAGAAACUGACGGUACCUGACUAAGAAGCACCGGCUAAAUACGUGCCAGCAGCCGCGGUAAUACGUAUGGUGCAAGCGUUAUCCGGAUUUACUGGGUGUAAAGGGAGCGUAGACGGAUAGGCAAGUCUGGAGUGAAAGCCCGGGGCUCAACCCCGGGACUGCUUUGGAAACUGUUUAUCUAGAGUGCUGGAGAGGUAAGUGGAAUUCCUAGUGUAGCGGUGAAAUGCGUAGAUAUUAGGAGGAACACCAGUGGCGAAGGCGGCUUACUGGACAGUAACUGACGUUGAGGCUCGAAAGCGUGGGGAGCAAACAGGAUUAGAUACCCCUGUAGUC
Molecule: ribosomal RNA, 440 nt
Filed under: uncultured bacterium
Lineage: Bacteria
Description: bacterial SSU rRNA
Rfam family: Bacterial small subunit ribosomal RNA
Source: RNAcentral